RNAcentral lists this long non-coding RNA (558 nucleotides) under Equus caballus (horse). RNAcentral's name for it is "lncRNA (ENSECAG00000045144.1)". The record is from RNAcentral. Lineage: Eukaryota; Metazoa; Chordata; Mammalia; Perissodactyla; Equidae.
AAGACCCACCACCCUUUGUUUCUGCCUCCCUAGGGCCUGCCCUCCCUCCUGAGGCAGGUGUCUUUGGGGUCUGCCCUGAUCUUCCCAUCAGAGGCCUCAAGCACAGCGGGGAGCAGGCCGCUUCAAGGACACUCCACCCUGGAAAAUUCUGCCCCUUGGAGAAGUGAGCGGCUGGUUCCUCCCUUGUUCCUGCCUUCCUCCUCUGCUCUCCACCUCCGUGUGCAUCUCCUCCUCUGUUCUGGUUCACUCACCAGGGGCCUGCCCUUCUCGUCUGUUGCAGUGGUGUGGAGUCUUAGUUAUCCAGGAGAUUCAGCUAACACAGAACCUCAGCUUCCGGAGCUUUCCAGAAAUGAAAAUUAAGAUGCUUUUGUGGCCCCUGAAAGUACCAUGGGCAUAGGCUUGUGUCCCUGCGCCUGAUGGAGGUGGGCCCUGGACGGGGCCCUGGGAAGCUGGCUCUGGAUCAGAAGCAUCCCUGGGCUCAGGAUUAUUCGGAAAGUGCUACAACCUGGAACUCUCCCUCAGUAGGAAAAGCAACUUGUGCCAGCUGGUGGCUCGGGC